CCUCAAGUACCCGAAGUUAUGGAAUAUAUCUUUCCAGGAUAAAAUGAAUCACUUCGACAGAAUAGUGGUACCUCAACUUCUAUCAAACUACGAACUCACUCAACGACAACAAAUCACACUAGAGUUUGUUUUUUUUCAAGAAAGAGGAGUAUUUUUAUUCACAAUUUUAUGUUCAUACUUGAGAAAAAAUCCAGGUAUUUAUAUCCAUCAAUGUGUUGGUUCAUGAAGAGAAGCAAUGGUUUAGAAAGAUGCACCCCUCCAUAAAGGUGCAACUCUUUGGAGAAGUCACAACCCUUUGGAAAGCUUGUCACACCCCUUUUUAACUCCAAAAGAUUUCAAUUUUAAGUUCGAAAGAGUUUUUAUUAUUAAAGUGACAAAAUGAAGUAUUUGUUCUGAAAAAAGAUUUAUUUCAAUUAAACUCAGAGUCGCCACUUGGUAUAAUUUUGUGUGCCAAGUCAACUUUUGAAAAAUCCUUUUCAAAAUGAUUUGACUCAAUAAACUGGUUUGCGACCAGAGAUUCCGACUAAAGAAUUCUGUUGAUCGAGGGGAAGGUGUUAGGCACCCUUCGAUCCCGUGGUUCGACCACGGUCGCUUGGUGGAGUAUAUCGACUAAUUAGACACUACGAAUGUAUAAACCACACAAAAGCACAUAAAACAAUCAAUCAAACACACAAAAUAAAACAAAUCCAAAAUAUAGUAUCCUGUCCAAUUAUAUAGUCUAAAAAUAGAAAACAUGCGAAAAUAUAAAUCCCAUUCUAAGAUAAUCCUAAAACUACGCUCCAAUGUCUUACCCGAUGCCUCGGGCCUUGAUCACGAGCCUCCUUUGCAUAUAUGAUAUGUCGGGGCAUUCCUCGGAUAAAUCAAUACAAAUUCCUCGGGGCAUUUCCCGACCAAAUGAGUACAUUUUUAAAGCGAUAAAAUGGAAAAAAUUACUCAACAGACAGAUUUACACACUCGAGGAUUAGAAUCCUAUGAGUUGCCUACCCCAAAAUCUAGAAUUUGCCUAUCAAUUAAUGUCCUAAUCAUGCCACUAUCGUGUUCAACAAUAUUCAUACUUAAAUCAAAGUCUUAAUCAAUCCAAAUUCACCCUUUUGUCAAUUCCUCAAUUCCACGCCCGAAUUCAAUCUCAACAUGAUUAAACUAAUUCCAUACGUGGUUCACCAAUCAAAAUUUUACAUCCAACUCUAACACCAAAUAAUACACAACGGAGAUUCAAACAUGGUAAGCACAUGAAACAUUCACAAUUACAUUAAAAUUAAAGCGAGAAAAGAUAAAAUUGGACCUCAAUGUUUCUUUUAUUCGAUCAACUUGUAUCGAUUUCAACAGCCACGAAAGCCUCGUUAACCGAUGAACCCCGAAACAGACCCAACAAUGAAACCAAGCCUCGGUAUUUCAAAUUUUGUUCUAUUUUUCACCAAUUCAAACAAAAUCGCGGAAAAUAGACAAAAACAACCCAAAAUCAAAACUUCCAAGAUGAAGCUGAGAACCCGUGUGAUGAUUUUCGGCGAGACCUCAGUGUUUUCCGGCCGAUUUCAUCUAAAAAAAUACUAGAAAAAGAGAAAUUUUGGGAUUACGGAGGUGGACCGGCCUAAUCGCGAUGUAGAGUCGAUUCCGGCAAAGGUUUCGCUGGAAAGCUGGUUCCCUUUUCCCUUUUCAGUCCAUUUUUUUUGUAUCUUUUCUCUCUUUCGAUCUCUCACUCUCGAUCUCCCUUCCGUCCUCUCUCAGUCCCUCUAUGCGUAUGUGAGCAGUGUGUGCGCGUAAGUGUAUUUCCGAUAAGGACGAGUGGUGUGUGCGAUUUCUGGUGUAGAAGAGAGAGGUGAGUGUGUCUUUUGAUGAAUAAGAGAGAAAAAGAAAAAAAAAAUGUUUCUCUGUUGGUCCAGAGAAAGAAAGAAAAAUGGCGUUCCUUCCUUUUGUUCAAGAUGAUGAUUUUCUUCCCCUUCUUUACUGUAUGUGUAUGUCCUUUUAUGAAAUUGGAAAAAGAUCCCAAGAAGGAAUCUUUUCGGUGGGGCCCCCUUUUACUUUUUUUUUUUCUUUUACUCCUGUGUAUACAUGGAAUUGGCAAAGACGUGUAAACAAAGCUAGGUAGGAGGAGGGGCUCACGUGAGGUGGGGUGACGGGGUGUGGGGAUGAUAUGUCCUCUUUUUAUUAAAAAAGAUUGUUGGAAUGAUUAAAAUAAGAUAAAAUUUGUUAAAAAUUUUGUUAUGAGUUGUUAUUUUUGUAUUUUUGUGGGAAAUAAUUAAACGGGGUAGGAUACGUGGUAGGACGAGAGUAAAAAAAUGGAUAAAAUUAGACUUCGGGAGGGACGAAAUUACGUGUCUACAUCAUGCCCCCUUUGAAUGUAAACACGCAGUGUUUUCAGACAAAGAAAUAGACAACGAGACAAAAUUUUAUCCUAAUCAUUUUUCAAAAGAAGAAACAAAAGGAAGAAGGACAACCGAGUCUUGACUUAGGACAUCCUACCUACCCAAGUUAUGAGGGUGUCAAGUCGCAGGUAUCUUAAAGGAUUGAAAGGAGAUGGACAAUACCGAGUUGGAGAGUCGAGUGAGGUCCCGUCGAGGUUCUGGUUCGCGGCUCUGUUAUUACAUCAAAAUAAAAAUUACAAGUUAAAACAUAAAUAAAAUUACAAAAUUCUAUCUAUGCAACUUUUCUUGACUCUUGACUUGCUACUUCAUCACCCUAUUUUUCAGGCGGGCUCAUGACUUGCAAUUUCUUCAACUUGUUGCAUGACUUUAAAUUUCUUCACUCUAUUCUCCAUGUGGUCUCCUGACUUGCUAUUUUUCAAUUUGUUAACUUUCAAUUUAUUUACCUUGUUGCUUGGCUUUCAACUUCUUCACCUUGUUGCUUGACUUUCCAUUUUUUUUCACCCUAUUCUUUGGGUGGCUCCUGAAAUCACAUCAAAACUAGAAAGAAAAUUAUUCCAAACAUAGUUAUUGUAAAGGGAAAUUUCGUUUGCCAUAAAAGUAAAUUUUCAAAACAGAAAUUAAAUUUUUUGCCAUAAUUUAUCAUCAGAAGACUUUUGAUAAAGUCACAUCAUACCUACUUGCAUGUUGCAAUGAUGAAUUAAGACUGACUAAGAAAUGCAUCUCUUGAGAGUAUAAUUGAAUUAUCAAGAUUAGGAAGUGUGUCUCCUAAGAAUUAAAGUGAGGGAUUCUGCCUAGAAAGUACAUCUUCUAGAGAUAUAAGUUUUAAUUAAAAAACGUGCCACCAGACAAAUGAAAACUAGCAAGGAAGUGCGUCUCCUAAGGGUUAAAUGUGAUAACCCGACUAGAAAGUGCAUCUUCAAGAAAUCAAGGGGACUGACUCAACUAGGAAGUCCAUCUACUAGGAAUCAAGACUUAAGUUAGGAAGUGCAUCACUUAAAAAAUAAAAUUUGAAUUACUCAAUCAAGGAAGUGCAUUUUCUUACCAAUGUUGCUUGAAUUAUCAAAAUAAGGAAGUGCAUCUCCUUACCAAUGCCACUUGAAUUACCAAAAUAAGGAAGUGUUUCUCCUUACAAAUGUUGCUUGAAUUACCCAAACAAGGAAGUACGUCUCCUUACAAAUACCGCUUGAAUUACCAAAUGUAACACCCCGUACUUAAUUACGUGCAUUAGUCAUUGUUAUAUGUGUUGGAGUAUAUGUAUUGAUCCUAAGUUAGGUAUAUAUGAGUUUAAGUAUGAGUAUUGAUUAUUUUGAGAUGGUUUCAAGUGUAUAGUUUGAUUAUAGGUGUAUAGGAAUCGACUUUAUUUAUACCGGAAUUUUCCCGUCGAUGGUUCCAUACGAAGGUUAUUGAAUAAGCUUUCCAACGAUAUAAAGAUUUCCAAAAACGGAUAAGUUUCGGAUAUAAGCGAGCUCGUUCGAAACUUUAAAACGGUGGCCGGGAUGUGAACAGUAAAUGUGCAGGAAAACUACUGAGGCCUGCCAGUUUUUUGGGUCAACUUUGAACGAUCAUAACUACCUCAAUAUAAUGAACUGGAAGAGCUACCACAUAUCAAAAGAAAGAUCUUUGAGUCUUCUUUCCAAUGCAAUUGGUUUCAUCCAAAUCCAACAUCUGAGUAAGGAGUUAUACUCGUUUUACUUCAGCCUCUCAAAACAGAUUUUUAGGGUCAACUUCAAACGAUCAUAACUACUUGUACAGGACGAACUGGGUGGAUUAAUUUAUAUUAAAUGAAAGACCUUUGAAUUAUCUUUCUAACGAUACCAAUUUCACCCAAAUCCGAUAUCGGAGCAAAGAGUUAUGGCCGAUUUACUUUAGCCUAUCAAAACUCCUUGUACAAGACGAACUGGGUGUCCUACUUUAUAUUAAAUGAAAGACCUUUGAAUUAUCUUUCUAACGAUACCAAUUUCACCCAAAUCCGAUAUCGGAGCAAAGAGUUAUGGCCGAUUUACUUUAGCCUAUCAAAACAGUCCACCAUGGACAGAUUCGGAUUUACUUAAAUUUUUAAGGGCAAUAUGGUCAUUUUCCAUCACCUCAUGGACGAAAAUUGGUCAUUAUAUACAUAUAAUUAGUCUCAUAUCCAUCAAUUAUCAUCAAAUUAUUGAAAAUAAGAAACCCUAGCCUAAUUUCAACUCCAAAUAUCUUGUGAUUCAACCGUAGAAAAUCCAAAUUGAUUCCGUAGUUGUGUUCACCAUCUCAAGGGCUUCGAGAAGCACCCCUUAUUUGUGCCAACAGGACUUCGAAAUCAAAAGGGCCAUUUUAUGGUAAGGAUGUAAAUUAUGUUGGUGUUAUUUAUAUGGAUAUGUAUAUAUAUAUAUAUAUGCAUGUGAGCAUAAGAAGUAUGUUAUUUGAUUGUUGUUGAAAGAUGAUUGGAAAUGAUGUUGGAUUAUUCUUGUGCAUGGUUGGAUUAUGUUAAAUUGUGAAGGAAUUUGGGGUGAUGAUGUAGUAUUGAUGAUGUGGUAUUGAAAUGAUGAUUAUAUAUAUAUACACACAUAAACCUAUUGUUCAAGUUGGUUUUUGGAAUGUUUUGCAAAUAUUGGUAGUAUGGAAUUAUGGAAGAGAAUUGUGGUGUUGGGUUGCUAAUACUAGAUGCCAAACAUUUCAUUGUAGAUAAGUGAUUUGUAAAGGCGGGAAGUUGUGUUGAAUUGGUAUCCGAAUCUACAACGAGGUAUGUAAAGCAUACUCUAACAAUGUUCUUUGGCAUGAAAACACCAAUGUUCCAUCAAGUAAGAUUCCGAGGUUGUCCAAAAACAUGUAUUGUUCUACGUUACCAACGAAGUUGUUUCCAUCCUAUAAAGUGUCAAAAUGUUCAUUGAUAUACCAAAAGGCUCUUAUUUCAUUGUUGUGAUAUUGAUGAUUCUGAAACACAUUGUUGAUGUACCAAUGAGUCUUUAUUACAUCGUUAUUGUAUAGAAGGUCUAUUACUUGGUUCCUAUUGAUGUAUCAUUGUUUCAAAGUAUCAAAAAUGUGGUGGCGACCGAAAUAACAAUCUCAAAGAUUAAUUGAACUAAGUGAUGGAAGUUCUCUCUUAUCGGGUGGUAUCCCAGGGGCAUAAGCCUAGCAUGGGUCGAUCCCUAUUUCAUGUGUUUAUGGGUGGUAUCCCAGGGGCAUAAGCCUAGCAUGGGUCGAUCCCAGUUGAUAUGUACUGGAGGCAUCCUAAUGGUCACAGUACAGUACAGUAAUGAUUACAAAGACGAUAAGAACGAAGGUAAAGUGAUUGAAUAAAUACAAUGUACAGGUUGUCACAAGUUCUAGUAAGUGUGGUCCACUCCUAUUACGACUUAUUCACUUGUUUCUGAUUUCUAUUGAGCUCCUAUAUCAUAUGUGAUUAUUUACAGCUUUACAUACUCAGUACAUAUUUCGUACUGACGUCCCUCACGGGGGACCUGCAUUUCAUGCUGCAGGCACAGGUACCUCAGCUCAUACACCGCACAAGUAGGAGCCAGGUCAUACAGCUAUUGUUGGUGAGCUCCAGUUUGCUUCGGAGCUUUCUGAGUCGGUUCCUUAUGUUUUGUUAUUGUACAUGAGUCAUGUGUGGGCGGGGGUUUAUCCCGACCCUAGUUAUGUCAUGUAUAUCCUGGAGGCUUUGUAGACAUAAGGAAGGGUAAAGUCAUGGAAGUUUAUAUAGUAACGCUAUAUUUGUAGAUGUGGUGGCCCCGACGGCCAAGUAUUAUAUAUAUAUAUUUGUGCGUGUUGUGCUGAUACAGGUAAUUAGACCUUUCUAUAUGCAACGAAGUGCUGUCCAAUUUUUUGGUGACAUGUAAGUGAAAGUACAGGUAUUUGAACGGGUUCUCCCGGGCCUUCUCGGCUUCGGAUGCCAGUCCGGCCCGAUGAGAUUUUGGGGCGUGACACCAAACAAGAAAGUGUGUUUCCUUAUAAAUGUUGCUUGAAUUACCAAACAAGGAAGUGCGUUUCCUUACAAAUGUUUCUUGAAUUGACCAAACAAGAAAGUGUGUCUCCUUACAAAUGUUGCUUGAAUUCCCCAAAUAAGUAAGUGCGUCUCCUUACAAAUGUUGCUUGAAUUAACUAAACAAAGAAAUGCGUCUCCUUACAAAUGUUGUUUGAAUUAACUAAAUAAGAAAGUGUGUCUCCUUACAAAAGUUGCUUGAAUUAACUAAACAAAGAAGUGCGUCUCCUUAUAAAUGUUGCUUGAAUUAACUAAAUAAGGAAGUGCGUCUCCUCACAAAUGCCGCUUGAAUUACCCAAACAAGGAAGUGUGUCUCCUUACAAAUAUUUCUUGAAUUGACCAAACAAGGAAGUGCGUCUCCUUACAAAUGUUGCUUGAAUUCCCCAAACAAUAAAGUGCGUCUCCUUACAAAUGUUGCUUGAAUUAACUUAACAAGGAAGUGUGUCUCUUUACAAAUGUUGCUUGAAUUAACUUAACAAGGAAGUGCGUCUCCUUACAAAUGUUGCUUGAAUUAACUAAACAAGGAAGUGCAUCUCCUUACAAAUGUCACUCAAAUUAUCCAUACAAAGAAAUGCGUCUCCUUACAAAUGCCACCUGAAUUUUCCAAGGAAAUGCGUCUCCUUGAGAAGGAAAUGUGCCUCCUAGAGAUCUUGAAUUAUGAGUUUCACCAUGGUUUUGAUUACCAAACCAGUGCAGCAACAUUGUCUCUUGCAUUUGUAGAAAUGAGAAAUUACGGCCUUUGAUGUUUAGGCUCUGAAAUCUUUGAUCUGAAUGCAACAUGUGUUCCUAUUUCAUACAAAGAAAACUUGUUAGUUUAAAAAUAUGGUGGCUGGUUUGUGGAUUUGGCUUUCAUGGAAAUCGCGCUUGCCCCUAUCACAUUUAAUCUUGCUCUCAAGAAUUAGAAUGUGUCACUGACUUGCUGCAUCAUUGACCCGAAUUCAGAUUAUUAAGAGUGACUUUGAAACAGAUACAAUAUCUUUGAUUUGUCAUGUUUCUCAGAUAAACCUUUUGAACCUUGGUAUUUCCAUGAGUUCCCAGACUUGUCGGUUAACAAAACUCUCUGCAUGUCUUAUUUUGGCUCACAAUCAUGUAUCUUUCAUGUGUUGGCCUUUUGUCUUGCUUUGCGCAAUUGAAAAAGUUGAUAGCCAAUUUUGAAAUUUUUUUUCACUUGUUUUGACAUGGACUUGACUCAAAGACGAGAAAAAAUGACAAUGAUUUUAUUUGGACAACUGACUAAAGAAAAUAAAACAAAAAAUAAAGAGAAGAAAGCAAAGACAAUGAAUGUACCCAUUUGAAAUAAAGAAAUAAAAAAUUUAUCUAGAAAUGACAGUCAACUCUAAUGAUUAUGCCAUGUAUUUUUGGAUGAAGAUGUCUGAUCUUUCCAUCCAAACAUUCUACUAAUUGGUGUUGAGUUGAUGGCUCUAAAACUAAGUUACUUGCUUGAACCCAUUGCAUUCGAAGAGCUCAUUCGGCUAGUGGCACAUUGAAGGAUUUUUGCUAACAAACAUCUCUCAUUUUUCUCUCAUCUCACCAUCGCCUUAUGGUGCCCGUGAGGGUUUUCACCAAUAAAACUCUCUCAUUUUUAUCUGUCUUAACUUACUAUCACCUUAUGGUGCCCGAGAGAGUUUUCACCAGUAAGGCUCUCUCAUUUUUAUUUCUCUCCUAGUUUCUUAUGCUGAAGAAGAAGAGUAGUUCUUAAAAAUGUGUCAUAACAUCCAUUGCAUUCUUAGCCUUAACAUUCUCAAAGAUUAAUUCGAAGGUCUUUCUUUGGUUGUAACUUGACAUUUGGAUAGGUUUAGAAAAAAAGGAUGACAUAGGGCUCAAACGACACUUGAAGUGAGGUGGGAUUUGAAGUGAGGUGGGAUUUCCGAUGAGGAUGAGUGGUGUGUGCGAUUUCUAGUGUAGAAGAGAGAGGUGAGUGUGUCUUUUGAUGAAUAAGAAAGAAAAAGAAAAAAAAAUGUUUCUCUGUUGGUCCAGAGAAAGAAAGAAAAAUGGCGUGCCUUCCUUUUG
Molecule: long non-coding RNA, 8331 nt
Filed under: Capsicum annuum
Lineage: Eukaryota; Viridiplantae; Streptophyta; Magnoliopsida; Solanales; Solanaceae
Description: long non-coding RNA (CANN_LNC003687)
Source: RNAcentral